UGAAGUCACUUGGACAAGAUGGAAGCCUGUGCUCUACUUAGGACUCUCUGCUUGCAACUAAUAUGCAUGCCAGCCUAGCGAAAUGCGCACUGAAGAAUGAUGAUCGAUAGCUCCAAAUAUGCACCCCAAAUGCAAACAACAAUUCUGGAUUCUUUGGAACAGAGAAACAGCAGCUGGAGAAAAGGGGCAUGGAGUAUUCACAAACCUAAUUCUGCUAAAAAGCUUAACCCAGUAACACCUAUGGCAAAAAGAAUUCUGGUUGAAAAAUAUAACAGUUAAAUGCACUGGAUCUCUGUCAAAAUGAAAGAAACAUGAGCUAACUUCAUCUCAGAAUGUGAAAGUUUCAUACUUCCUCUUUGGAUAGUGCUUUCUCCUGUAAAGUAAAUUUAUCGAAUGUACAUGCUCCCUAGCUGCAGAAUUAAAAACAGCAUACAUUGCAGUAAUUUGAGGAAUAUUAUAUGCACAUCACUUUCCUUUUGACAACAAUUUAAAAAGACAGGCUAAUAAUGAGGAAUACUCUGCAUCUGACGAUUCUUUAGGAGAAAAUGCAUUUUAUUGCCAUGAGGCACAUUGACUUAAAUGAGGUGUGACCAGCAGAAGGCACUGUUACAAUAAAUAUAUAUGCUACUGCUCUCAUUUACAAGCAGGUUUUGAAAUUGAGACUGGAAGUUUGACUAACUUUUCACAAUACAGUGAUUGUUGUCCCCCCAGCCUCCAAUUCCCAAGCCACCCUUGUCAAUGGAAAUAAUCUCACAGAAGUGAUCCAAAGUCCUUUUCAGCCAAUUCCUUUUGUAUUCCCAUCCAGAGCUAACCCUAGUCAACUUUCAUCGCACUGCACUUUUUUGUUCAGCAGAAAAUUGUGUCCACACUUACCAGUUUAGCACUCCUUUAUGCUGAGUUGUGUCCUCGUGAAAUGAGACCCCCACAUUGCUGAGCAGCCAGACAUUGCCUUCAGAGUGGGUUUAAGCUUACAUAACUCACUUCAAAACAAGCUUCUAGCAUCCCGUCUUAUUAACCUUUAGUGGUUUAGCUGAACUCUUUUCUGGGAUUUUUAAAUGGAGCUGCUGCAGAUAUAGUCAAAUGUACCUUUUUAAUUAAAUCUCUCUCUCUCUCUUUCUCUCUCGCUCUCUCUCCCCCUUCCCAAACAAGUAAUAAUGGCCUUUAGUAUAUGUUAGUAUACAAAAAAAUCUGUGGAACGCCAGCUCAGGUUUACAAAUUCCAAGUUAAAAGAACCAGCGUAAGGAAGAGGGGGGAGAAAAAGGGAAAAAAUGUUACAGCAUCUGUUUGGAUUUUUGUAUUUCAAAGUCCUGACUACUUUAUCUGAAUUACAGAUUUAGGGCUUUGUUAUGUGUGAUAGGUAUGAUAAUAUGAUCACUAAAGGCACAGAGACAGGGAGACUCAAAUCCCUUUGAAAAUCCCUUUCUCUAUUUCCUACAGCUGCUUCUAGAGUUUAAUAUCUGAUAGAAUGAUG
Podarcis raffonei (Aeolian wall lizard) is the source of this 1471-nucleotide long non-coding RNA. RefSeq lists it as uncharacterized. Lineage: Eukaryota; Metazoa; Chordata; Lepidosauria; Squamata; Lacertidae. The transcript has 3 exons. The record is from RefSeq and is a predicted model, not a curated record.